ACGUUUUUAGUUUAAAUAAGAAUGUUAGCUUGUCGUGCUAGAGGUAAGUUGUUGCUUAAAGCGUG
Molecule: transfer RNA, 65 nt
Filed under: Postharmostomum commutatum
Lineage: Eukaryota; Metazoa; Platyhelminthes; Trematoda; Diplostomida; Brachylaimidae
Description: tRNA-Asp
Source: RNAcentral